RNAcentral lists this ribosomal RNA (253 nucleotides) under uncultured bacterium. RNAcentral describes it as "partial 16S ribosomal RNA". It matches the Rfam family "Bacterial small subunit ribosomal RNA", at positions 524 to 776 of the family's 1533-position model. The record is from RNAcentral.
UACGGAGGAUCCAAGCGUUAUCCGGAAUCAUUGGGUUUAAAGGGUCCGUAGGCGGUUUAGUAAGUCAGUGGUGAAAGCCCAUCGCUCAACGGUGGAACGGCCAUUGAUACUGCUAAACUUGAAUUAUUGUGAAGUAACUAGAAUAUGUAGUGUAGCGGUGAAAUGCUUAGAGAUUACAUGGAAUACCAAUUGCGAAGGCAGGUUACUAACAAUAUAUUGACGCUGAUGGACGAAAGCGUGGGUAGCGAACAGG